RNAcentral lists this long non-coding RNA (237 nucleotides) under Elaeis guineensis (African oil palm). Its description in RNAcentral is "long non-coding RNA (EGUI_LNC035393)". The record is from RNAcentral. Lineage: Eukaryota; Viridiplantae; Streptophyta; Magnoliopsida; Arecales; Arecaceae.
CCGUGCUUAGUCCUAUUUUCUUCUAGUGAAACAUCUUAUGAAAAUCAAAAUUCAAUGAAAAUUUUCAAAUAUCAUGACUAUUAAUUUAAAAAUUUAAAAUCUAAUUUUUAUUUAUUUAUUUAUUUUAAAGAAUUUGAGUUGAGCAAUAAUUCUUAUAAUAUAGACGUAUGGAAGGCGAUUGGUAGACUAAUCUCUAAUUAUCCGAGAAGAUAUCUAACAUAACAAUUUAUUCAAAUA